Cebus imitator (Panamanian white-faced capuchin) is the source of this 2268-nucleotide RNA transcript. It is a transcript of the gene named myc-associated zinc finger protein-like, with no coding region annotated. The record is from RefSeq and is a predicted model, not a curated record. Lineage: Eukaryota; Metazoa; Chordata; Mammalia; Primates; Cebidae. The transcript has a single exon.
AUGUUCCCGGUGUUCCCUUGCACGCUGCUGGCCCGCCCCCUUCCCCGUGCUGGGCUGGACUCCCGGGGGGUGGGCGGCCUCAUGAACUCCUUCCAGCCACCUCAGGGUCACGCCCAGAGCCCCCUGCAGGUCGCGGCUGAGCUCCAGUCCCGCUUCUUUGCCUCCCAGGGCUGCGCCCAGAGUCCAUUCCAGGUCGUGCCCUAGGCCCCGGCGGCCGAGCCCCUCCAGGUGGAUUUGCUCCCCGUGCUCACCGCUGCCCAGGAGUCCGCCGCGGCCGCCGCCGCCGUCUCUGCCGCGCCCCCGGCUCCGGCCGCCGCCUCCACGGUGGACACAGCGGCCCUGAAGCAGCCUCCGGCGCCCCCUCCGCCACCCCCACCCGUGUCGGUGCCUGCGGCCGAGGCCGCGCCCCCGCCUCCGGAGCCACCAUCGCCGCGGCGGCGGCCACCGCCAUCGUGGCCCCAACCUCGACUGUCGCCGUGGCCCCAGUCGCGUCUGCCUUGGAGAAGAAGACAGAGAGCAAGGGGCCCUACAUCUGCGCUCUGUGCUCCAAGGAGUUCAAGAACGGCUACAACCUCCGGAGGCACGAAGCCAUCCACACGGGAGCCAAGGCUGGCCGGGUCCCCUGGGGUGCUAUGAAGAUGCCCACCAUGGUGCCCCUGAGCCUCCUGAGCGUGCCCCAGCUGAGCGUGCCCCAGCUGAGCGGAGCCGGCGGGGGAGGGGGAGAAGCGGGUGCCGGCGGCGGCGCGGCUGCAGUGACCGCGGGUGGCGUGGUGACCACGACCGCCUCGGGGAAGCGCAUCCGGAAGAACCACGCCUGCGAGAUGUGCGGCAAGGCCUUCCGCGACGGCCACCACCUGAACCGACACAGGCUGUCGCACUCGGACGAGAAGCGCUACCAGUGCCUGGUGUGCCAGCAGCGCAGGGACCGCCUGAGCUACCACGUGCGCUCACAUGAGGGCGUGGUACACAAGCCCUACGACUGCUCCCACGGUGGCAAGAGCUUCUCCCGGCCGGAUCACCUCAACAGUCACAACAGAACGGCCCUUCAAAUGUGAGAAACGUGAGGCAGGUUUCGCCACGAAGGAUCAGCUGCGGGCGCACACGGUACGACCCGAGGAGAAGGUGCCAUGUCACGUGUGUGGCAAGAUGCUGAGCUCGGCUUAUAUUUCGGACCACAUGAAGGUGCACAGCCAGGGCCCUCACCAUGUCUGUGAGCUCUGCAACAAAGGUACUGGUGAGGUUUGUCCAAUGGCGGCCGCAGCUGUGGGCUCCCUCUCGGGGGCAGAGGGGGUGCCUGUGAGCUCUCAGCCACUUCCCUCCCAGCCCUGGUGAGCUCCAAUUUGGUUGGGGGGGAGAGGGGAGAAUGGAGUAGAGUCCUUUGGUACAGGCUCCUCUCCCCCCUCUUUUCCCACCAACUCCUCACUACUUCCCCACCAACCAAGGAGCCUCCGGAAGGAAAGGAGGAAGCAAUGUUUUAGGGGAAUUCGCUAGGUUUUAACGAUUUGUUUCUCCUGCUCCUCUCUUCUGUCAGACCUGACCCCAGACAAACCUGUCCCCUCAGUUGUGCUGAAGUCCCCUGGACAGUGGGCAGGGGUGGCAGAGGACAGGAGCAACCACUGCCCAUACCCCCUCUCCUCUCUGUAAGCCCGUGCCCUGUCCUCCCAGGGACUUGGGAGCCUCUUCCCUCAAUGGCUCUCUUACUUUCCUUCCAAUCCUCUCCCCGCGCUGUCUGCUGCCCCUCCCUGGGGAGUUGGUGCUUUCUUUUCCUUUUUCUUUUUUCCAGGAGGAGGGAGGAGAGGAAAGAGGGAGAUCAGAGCUUCUGUCCCAGAGAGGGAAAGCGGUGAGAUUUGCGGAGGGGCAGAAGCAGGGCCCGCAAAGGUUGUACCUUCAUAAGGUGGUAGGGAGUUUGGGUCAGGCCCUGAACAUCGUCCUACUUGAGAAUCUGUCAGGGGAAAAAGUUCAGGGGAGCAGAAGGAGGAGCCAGGAGGGCAAGAGGCAGAGGAUAGAUGGGAGUUUUAGGGGCCAGGGUGAGCGAGGGGUCCAGGGCCUAGAGGUGCUUCCUGGGGGUGGGGGAAUGCAGCCAGUGUCCCCCUCCCUUCUUCCACCCCAGCUCCAGCCCUGGUCUUGUCUUUUCAUCCCUCUUCCCCACGACAGAAGAAACUGUGGCCCUGGCCAUGUCAUCGUGUUCUUGUGUCCCCUGCAUGUACCCCACCCUCCAUCCCCUCGUUUUGCAUGGACCCCAUUACAAUAAAUUUUAAAUUAAAAAAA